AAAACCCUGCUGUGUUCGAAAAAACUCCUAGUUUUGAGCCAACACCAUUUAAAUGGGACUGAUGCUCCUUUUAUGGCAUAUAAGCCCCCACCGAGGGGACAUAUAAAGUAAAAGGGCGAAGACCCACCUGCUGGAGAGCAGGUUCAAAACAGGGGUUGAAACGGCACGGCGGGGAAAAA
RNAcentral lists this non-coding RNA (179 nucleotides) under Anaerobranca gottschalkii DSM 13577. RNAcentral's name for it is "6S / SsrS RNA". It matches the Rfam family "6S / SsrS RNA". From Rfam's summary of the family: E. coli 6S RNA was the first non coding RNA to be sequenced, but its function was unknown until recently. It consists of 184 nucleotides that fold into an extended hairpin structure with a large single-stranded internal bulge. Lineage: Bacteria; Bacillati; Bacillota; Clostridia; Eubacteriales; Proteinivoracaceae. The record is from RNAcentral.